This 24-nucleotide ribosomal RNA is filed under the name Rhizophagus intraradices. RNAcentral describes it as "partial 28S ribosomal RNA". Lineage: Eukaryota; Fungi; Glomeromycota; Glomeromycetes; Glomerales; Glomeraceae. The record is from RNAcentral.
GACCUCAAAUCAGGUAAGAGUACC